RNAcentral lists this ribosomal RNA (207 nucleotides) under uncultured bacterium. RNAcentral's name for it is "partial 16S ribosomal RNA". It matches the Rfam family "Bacterial small subunit ribosomal RNA", at positions 568 to 774 of the family's 1533-position model. The record is from RNAcentral.
CGCGUAGGCGGCCGAGCGGGUCACGGGUGAAAUCCUCCAGCUUAACUGGAGAACUGCCCUUGAUACCACUGCGGCUCGAGGAAGGAAGGGGCAAUCGGAACUGUCGGUGGAGCGGUGAAAUGCGUUGAUAUCGACAGGAACGCCGGUGGCGAAAGCGGAUUGCUGGUCCUUUUCUGACGCUGAGGCGCGAAAGCCAGGGAGCAAACG